GGUCAAGCGAACAAGUGCAUGUGGUGGAUGCCUUGGCGAUCACAGGCGAUGAAGGACGCGGUAGCCUGCGAAAAGCUACGGGGAGCUGGCAAACGAGCUUUGAUCCGUAGAUGUCCGAAUGGGGAAACCCGGCCCUUUUGGGUCAUCCUGGACUGAAUACAUAGGUCCAGUGAAGCGAACGCGGUGAACUGAAACAUCUAAGUAACCGCAGGAAAAGAAAUCAACCGAGAUUCCCAAAGUAGUGGCGAGCGAAAUGGGAUGAGCCUUGCACUCUUUAUUUGUAUUGUUAGCCGAACGCUCUGGAAAGUGCGGCCAUAGCAGGUGAUAGCCCUGUAGGCGAAAACAGUAUGAAAGAACUAGGUGUGCGACAAGUAGGGCGGGACACGUGAAAUCCUGUCUGAAGAUGGGGGGACCAUCCUCCAAGGCUAAAUACUCGUGAUCGACCGAUAGUGAACCAGUACCGUGAGGGAAAGGCGAAAAGAACCCCGGGAGGGGAGUGAAAUAGAUCCUGAAACCGCAUGCAUACAAACAGUCGGAGCCUCGUAAGGGGUGACGGCGUACCUUUUGUAUAAUGGGUCAGCGACUUACGUUCAGUAGCAAGCUUAACCGUAUAGGGCAGGCGUAGCGAAAGCGAGUCCGAAUAGGGCGUUCAGUUGCUGGGCGUAGACCCGAAACCAGGUGAUCUAUCCAUGGCCAGGAUGAAGGUGCGGUAACACGUACUGGAGGUCCGAACCCACUAACGUUGAAAAGUUAGGGGAUGAGCUGUGGAUAGGGGUGAAAGGCUAAACAAACCUGGAAAUAGCUGGUUCUCUCCGAAAACUAUUUAGGUAGUGCCUCGUGUCUCACCUUCGGGGGUAGAGCACUGUCAUGGUUGGGGGGUCUAUUGCAGAUUACCCCGCCAUAGCAAACUCCGAAUACCGAAGAGUGCAAUCACGGGAGACAGACAUCGGGUGCUAACGUCCGGUGUCAAGAGGGAAACAACCCAGACCGCCAGCUAAGGUCCCCAAAUAUAGCUAAGUGGGAAACGAAGUGGGAAGGCUAAAACAGUCAGGAGGUUGGCUUAGAAGCAGCCACCCUUUAAAGAAAGCGUAAUAGCUCACUGAUCGAGUCGUCCUGCGCGGAAGAUGUAACGGGGCUAAGCUAUAUACCGAAGCUGCGGAUGCGAGCUUUGCUCGCAUGGUAGGAGAGCGUUCCGUAAGCCUGCGAAGGUGCCUUGUAAAGGGUGCUGGAGGUAUCGGAAGUGCGAAUGCUGACAUGAGUAGCGAUAAAGGGGGUGAAAGGCCCCCUCGCCGUAAGCCCAAGGUUUCCUACGCAACGUUCAUCGGCGUAGGGUGAGUCGGCCCCUAAGGCGAGGCAGAAAUGCGUAGCUGAUGGGAAGCAGGUCAAUAUUCCUGCACCAUUGUUAGAUGCGAUGGGGGGACGGAUCGCGGAAGGUUGUCCGGGUGUUGGAAGUCCCGGUCGCUGCAUUGGAGAAGGCGCUUAGGCAAAUCCGGGCGCGUAAUUCAAGGGUGUGGCGCGAGCUCCUUAGGGAGCGAAGCAAUUGGAAGUGGUUCCAAGAAAAGCCUCUAAGCUUCAGUCUAACGAUGACCGUACCGCAAACCGACACAGGUGGGCGAGAUGAGUAUUCUAAGGCGCUUGAGAGAACUCGGGAGAAGGAACUCGGCAAAUUGGUACCGUAACUUCGGGAUAAGGUACGCCCUUGUAGCUUGACUGGCCUGCGCCAGGAGGGUGAAGGGGUUGCAAUAAACUGGUGGCUGCGACUGUUUAAUAAAAACACAGCACUCUGCAAACACGAAAGUGGACGUAUAGGGUGUGACGCCUGCCCGGUGCCGGAAGAUUAAAUGAUGGGGUGCAAGCUCUUGAUUGAAGUCCCGGUAAACGGCGGCCGUAACUAUAACGGUCCUAAGGUAGCGAAAUUCCUUGUCGGGUAAGUUCCGACCUGCACGAAUGGCGUAACGAUGGCCACACUGUCUCCUCCCGAGACUCAGCGAAGUUGAAGUGUUUGUGAUGAUGCAAUCUACCCGCGGCUAGACGGAAAGACCCCAUGAACCUUUACUGUAGCUUUGCAUUGGACUUUGAACCGAUCUGUGUAGGAUAGGUGGGAGGCUAUGAAACCGGAACGCUAGUUUCGGUGGAGCCGUCCUUGAAAUACCACCCUGGUUUGUUUGAGGUUCUAACCUUGGCCCGUGAUCCGGGUCGGGGACAGUGCAUGGUAGGCAGUUUGACUGGGGCGGUCUCCUCCCAAAGCGUAACGGAGGAGUACGAAGGUACGCUAGGUACGGUCGGAAAUCGUGCUGAUAGUGCAAUGGCAUAAGCGUGCUUAACUGCGAGACCGACAAGUCGAGCAGGUGCGAAAGCAGGUCAUAGUGAUCCGGUGGUUCUGUAUGGAAGGGCCAUCGCUCAACGGAUAAAAGGUACUCUGGGGAUAACAGGCUGAUACCGCCCAAGAGUUCAUAUCGACGGCGGUGUUUGGCACCUCGAUGUCGGCUCAUCUCAUCCUGGGGCUGUAGCCGGUCCCAAGGGUAUGGCUGUUCGCCAUUUAAAGAGGUACGUGAGCUGGGUUUAAAACGUCGUGAGACAGUUUGGUCCCUAUCUGCCGUGGGCGUUGGAUAUUUGAAGGGGGCUGCUCCUAGUACGAGAGGACCGGAGUGGACGAACCUCUGGUGUACCGGUUGUCACGCCAGUGGCAUCGCCGGGUAGCUAUGUUCGGAAGAGAUAACCGCUGAAAGCAUCUAAGCGGGAAACUCGCCUUAAGAUGAGAUAUCCCUGGGGACUAGAUCCCCUUGAAGGGUCGUUCGAGACCAGGACGUUGAUAGGUCAGGUGUGUAAGCGCAGUAAUGCGUUCAGCUAACUGAUACUAAUUGCCCGUAAGGCUUGAUCCU
Molecule: ribosomal RNA, 2882 nt
Filed under: Burkholderia orbicola MC0-3
Lineage: Bacteria; Pseudomonadati; Pseudomonadota; Betaproteobacteria; Burkholderiales; Burkholderiaceae
Also listed under: 4 other names
Description: bacterial LSU rRNA
Rfam family: Bacterial large subunit ribosomal RNA
Source: RNAcentral